UAAUAAGUUGUUUAUGGCACUUUUUAAAUCCAUAUCCACCUUGGUGCAAUGUCAGUCGAUCUUCUUCAUGGAGAUCGACCAAACAUCAACCUUUAUAUCUAUUCUAUUUAUAACUCUUUGUCUGAAAAAUAUUAUGAAUAAUACAAUUCAAAAUAC
This 156-nucleotide unclassified non-coding RNA is filed under the name soil metagenome. RNAcentral's name for it is "partial internal transcribed spacer 1". The record is from RNAcentral.